CAUUCGACACAAGAUGGCAACUACCGUGAGCGGAGUGUUUCGCGAGGAAUUGCGCGAUGCGAUUUUACGCAGCAAGGUACUCGUCGUGGGUGCCGGUGGCAUCGGUUGCGAGAUCCUGAAGAACCUUGUCAUGUCUGGGUUCGCGGACAUCGAGAUUAUUGAUUUGGAUACAAUAGAUGUAAGCAAUUUAAACAGACAGUUUUUGUUUCAAAAGAAACAUGUGGGAAAGUCAAAAGCGAGUGUUGCACGUGAAACUGCAUUAACAUUUAAUCCAGAUGUCAAAGUGAUACAUUACCAUGACAGUAUUACAUCAUCAGAGUUUGGUUUGUCGUUUUUUAAGAGAUUCACAGUGGUUUUAAAUGCUCUUGACAACAGAGCAGCCAGAAACCAUGUAAAUCGUAUGUGCUUAGCAGCAGAUAUACCAUUGAUCGAAUCUGGUACUGCAGGCUAUGAAGGUCAGGUAGAACUCAUAAAAAAAGGCCUGAGUCAAUGUUAUGAAUGUACACCCAAAGCUGCACAAAAGACUUAUCCUGGUUGUACAAUACGUAACACACCUAGUGAGCCUAUUCACUGCAUAGUGUGGGCCAAGCAUCUCUUCAAUCAAUUAUUUGGAGAAGAAGAUCCCGAUCAGGAUGUUUCUCCAGAUACAGCAGAUCCUGAAGCCACUGACGUAGCAGGGGAGGGAGCUUUGCAGACAGAGCACAAUGACAAAGGCAAUAUUGAUAGAAUUUCCACGCGAGUUUGGGCUCAAUCUUGCGACUACGAUCCAGAAAAAUUAUUUACAAAACUUUUUCACGAUGAUAUCAAGUAUCUGUUAAGUAUGGACAAUUUAUGGAAGAAGCGCAGAUCACCGACAGCAUUGAAUUGGAGAGAAUUACCAGAUGGAGGUUUGUCAUUGUUCCAUAAAUAUCUUUUUUUCUUUCAUUUUUUCAUCGAGAUUAAUAAUAUUUUAUCUCUUUUCAAAGUGGCUGGAUGUAGUAAAGAGAUUAAUCAGCCUGGACUGAAGGAUCAACAACGUUGGAGCAUUUCUAAAUGUGGCUCCAUUUUCGCUGAUUCAUUAAAAAAUUUGAGCCAGGCGUUGAAAGCUUCCCAAGAAAAAUCGCUGGACAAUCAUCUGGUCUGGGAUAAGGAUGAUCAACAUGCCAUGGAUUUUGUCGCCGCGUGUGCUAAUAUUCGCGCACAUAUCUUUGGAAUUCCUCAAAAGAGCAGAUUUGAUAUCAAGUCAAUGGCCGGCAAUAUAAUCCCAGCGAUCGCAACUACAAAUGCUAUAAUUGCGGGCAUGGUGGUCCUUCAUGCUUUCCGAGUUCUUGAAAAUAAUUUACGGGCUUGUAGAUCCGUCUACCUUCGUCUGAAGAUGAAUCAUCGUAAUCAGCUGUUAGUGCCGGAGAAGGCAGUAAAUCCACCCAAUCCGCACUGCUACGUCUGCGCGCCUACUCCGCAAGCCGUGCUGGCGGUCGACACCUCCAAUAUGACUAUUAAAGAACUAGAGGAAUUAGUGCUCAAGAACAGACUUAACAUGAUCGCUCCUGAUGUCAUGAUCGAUGGCACUGGCGCCGUCGUCAUCAGCAGCGAGGAAGGCGAGACAGAAAGCAAUAACGACAAAAAAUUGGAAGAAUUGGGAAUCAGAGACGGAGCUAUCCUCAAAGUCGAUGAUUUCCAGCAGAAUUAUUCGCUAACUGUCUUCGUAGUUUAUCGAGAGAAACCUGGUCCAAAAGAUGACAGUCCACAAUUUUUAAUAUUGGCUGAUAAGAAUGCACUUAAACCGAAGGAUGAGGAGGAAGAACAGAAAGCUUCGACGUCUAAUGGACAGAACGUGACCGAUAUAUCAGAUACUGCUAAAAAGCGCAAAAACGAUUCAUCCGAAUCUGAAAUUGCAGCCAAAAAACGCAAAGUGGAAAUUGAUAAUAACAAGGAUAAUAACGAUGACAUUUGCAUUAUUGAUAAUGAUGAUGAACUUCAUAACAUACCCGAAUUGAAAAAAACUAUCCCGAGGAAGCGGAAACUUUCCGAGGACACUGAUUGUUUGAUAGUGUGCGAUGAUCAUACCGACUAGUUUCAAAACACAAGGCAAAUACUUAUCUAUUUUAUAAUUAUACAUCUCAAAAUCUAUUUUGUACCUUUCGUACAGCCGCAGAAUUAUGUCGGUUGUCAGAUUAUGGAAGUAUUUGCAUGUUACAUCAAAGUUAGUGAUCCCAGCAUGAGUGCGCUGCAGUCUGGGCAGUUUCAGAAUGAAAUUGUAGCUCGUAUCACAGACUGCGCAAUGAGUAUAGUACUGGGCCCAGUGAUCAUCAUCAUAAUCUGGGAGUUGCUUUAGCAACCAUUCUAAGAAUUCUCGGAAGCUAGGCACAAUUUUUAAUCUGUAAAAA
Molecule: RNA transcript, 2366 nt
Organism: Cataglyphis hispanica
Lineage: Eukaryota; Metazoa; Arthropoda; Insecta; Hymenoptera; Formicidae
Gene: Uba2
Gene name: SUMO-activating enzyme subunit 2
Exons: 9
Source: RefSeq, a predicted model, not a curated record